AUGAAACUGUUAUGUUGGAACUGCCGGGGGCUUGGUGACGCCACGGCGGUUCGUGCUUUGUUGGAUGUCCAGCGAAGCUCCAGCCCAGAUGUGAUGUUUUUGUCGGAGACACACUUAGAAAGCUAUCAGGCAGAGUGUUUGUGGAGGAGAUUGAGAAUGGAUCAGAAGUUGGUAUGCGCUGGAGAUGGAAGGAAAGGUGGGCUGAUGUUA
This 210-nucleotide ribosomal RNA is filed under the name Triticum aestivum (bread wheat). RNAcentral describes it as "partial small subunit ribosomal RNA". The record is from RNAcentral. Lineage: Eukaryota; Viridiplantae; Streptophyta; Magnoliopsida; Poales; Poaceae.